Molecule: ribosomal RNA, 726 nt
Filed under: uncultured fungus
Lineage: Eukaryota; Fungi
Description: eukaryotic LSU rRNA
Rfam family: 5.8S ribosomal RNA (bases 176-329)
Source: RNAcentral
GCGCGAAGGAUCAUUAUCGAAUUGGCUUGGACUGUGCUGGCUUCUGCAUGUGCACGUCCAUCUUCAUCCAAUACACCUGUGCAUCUUUGACUUUGAGCCCUCGGGCGAGAAGUAUUACACACCCUUUGAUUAUGUAUGUGAUAAAGACUAUGGCGCUUUGCGUCGAUUAUAAAACAACUUUCAACAACGGAUCUCUUGGCUCUCGCAUCGAUGAAGAACGCAGCGAAAUGCGAUAAGUAAUGUGAAUUGCAGAAUUCAGUGAAUCAUCGAAUCUUUGGACGCACCUUGCACCCUUUGGUAUUCCGAAGGGUAUGCCCGUUUGAGUGUCAUUGUAAUCUCACACCCAAGACUUCUUGUCGAGGGAGGUGGACUUGGAUGUUUUGCUGCGUAACUGCGGCUCGUCUCAAAAGUGUCAGCGCGGCUCUAGAUGAAGCGUUUGAUGCCCAGUGUAAUAAGUAUUUCGCUGUGGUUAGCAUUAGUCUAUGAGUUGUUGUGCUCUCUAAUCGUCUUCGGACUGGACCAGCGAUGGUUCAUUUGACAACUUGGCCCCAAAUCGGGUAGGACUACUCUCCUGAACCUUAAGCAUAUCAAUAAGCGGAGGAAAAGAAACCAAACAAGGAUUUCUCCCAGUAACGGCGAGUGGAGAGGGAAGAACUUAAAUUUUGAAUCUGGCGUCUUCCGCGUCCGAGUUGUAAUCUAUAGAAGUGUUUUCCGCGAUGGACCUUG